This 207-nucleotide ribosomal RNA is filed under the name uncultured bacterium. RNAcentral describes it as "partial 16S ribosomal RNA". It matches the Rfam family "Bacterial small subunit ribosomal RNA", at positions 568 to 774 of the family's 1533-position model. The record is from RNAcentral.
CUCGUAGGCGGCCAACUAAGUCAUACGUGAAAUCCCUCAGCUUAACUGGGGAACUGCGUGUGAUACUGGAUGGCUUGGAUUUGGGAGAGGGAUGCGGAAUUCCAGGUGUAGCGGUGAAAUGCGUAGAUAUCUGGAGGAACACCGGUGGCGAAGGCGGCAUCCUGGACCAAUAUUGACGCUGAGGAGCGAAAGCCAGGGGAGCAAACG